CCGUCAAUUCAUUUGAGUUUCAUUCUUGCGAACGUACUCCCCAGGUGGAUUACUUAACGCUUUCGCUAAGCCGCUUACGGUGUAUCGCAAACAGCGAGUAAUCAUAGUUUACUGCGUGGACUACCAGGGUAUCUAAUCCUGUUUGAUCCCCACGCCUUCGUGCCUGAGCGUCAGUUAUGGCCUAGUAAGCUGCCUGCGCAAUCGGAGUUCCUCGUGAUAUCUAUGCAUUUCACCGCUACACCACAAAUUCCGCCUACUUCAUCCACACUCAAGAAAACCAGUAUCGAUGGCACUUUUACAGUUGAGCUGCAAAAUUUCACCGCCGACUUAAUCUUCCGCCUGCGCACCCUUUAAACCCAAUAAAUCCGGAUAACGCUUGGAUCCUCCGUAUUACCGCGGC
Molecule: unclassified non-coding RNA, 400 nt
Filed under: uncultured Bacteroidales bacterium
Lineage: Bacteria; Pseudomonadati; Bacteroidota; Bacteroidia; Bacteroidales
Description: contains 16S-23S intergenic spacer region
Source: RNAcentral